GUAGGGUGCAAGCGUUAAUCGGAAUUACUGGGCGUAAAGCGUGCGCAGGCGGUUUUGUAAGUCUGUCGUGAAAUCCUCGGGCUCAACCUGAGAAUUGCGAUGGAGACUGCAAGGCUAGAAUCUGGCAGAGGGGGGUAGAAUUCCACGUGUAGCAGUGAAAUGCGUAGAGAUGUGGAGGAACACCGAUGGCGAAGGCAGCCCCCUGGGUCAAGAUUGACGCUCAUGCACGAAAGCGUGGGGAGCAAACAGGAUUAGAUACCCUGGUAGUCCACGCCCUAAACGAUGUCUACUAGUUGUCGGGUUUUAAUUAACUUGGUAACGCAGCUAACGCGUGAAGUAGACCGCCUGGGGAGUACGGUCGMAAGRUUA
Molecule: ribosomal RNA, 369 nt
Filed under: uncultured bacterium
Lineage: Bacteria
Description: bacterial SSU rRNA
Rfam family: Bacterial small subunit ribosomal RNA
Source: RNAcentral